AACGAACGCUGGCGGCAGGCUUAACACAUGCAAGUCGAGCGCCUCGCAAGAGGAGCGGCCGACGGGUGAGUACCGCGUGGGAACGUACCCUUAUCUUCGGAAUAGCUCUGGGAAACUGGAAGUAAUACCGAAUGUGCCCUUAGGGGGAAAGAUUUAUCGGAUAAGGAUCGGCCCGCGUUGGAUUAGCUAGUUGGUGGGGUAAAGGCCUACCAAGGCGACGAUCCAUAGCUGGUCUGAGAGGAUGAUCAGCCACAUUGGGACUGAGACACGGCCCAAACUCCUACGGGAGGCAGCAGUGGGGAAUAUUGGACAAUGGGCGCAAGCCUGAUCCAGCCAUGCCGCGUGAGUGAUGAAGGCCUUAGGGUUGUAAAGCUCUUUCACCGGAGAAGAUAAUGACGGUAUCCGGAGAAGAAGCCCCGGCUAACUUCGUG
Molecule: ribosomal RNA, 431 nt
Filed under: uncultured bacterium
Lineage: Bacteria
Description: partial 16S ribosomal RNA
Rfam family: Bacterial small subunit ribosomal RNA
Source: RNAcentral